GACGAACGCUGGCGGCGUGCCUAAUACAUGCAAGUAGAACGCUGAAGAGAGGAGCUUGCUCUUCUUGGAUGAGUUGCGAACGGGUGAGUAACGCGUAGGUAACCUGCCUUGUAGCGGGGGAUAACUAUUGGAAACGAUAGCUAAUACCGCAUAACAAUGGAUGACACAUGUCAUUUAUUUGAAAGGGGCAAUUGCUCCACUACAAGAUGGACCUGCGUUGCAUUAGCUAGUAGGUGAGGUAAUGGCUCACCUAGGCGACGAUACAUAGCCGACCUGAGAGGGUGAUCGGCCACACUGGGACUGAGACACGGCCCAGACUCCUACGGGAGGCAGCAGUAGGGAAUCUUCGGCAAUGGGGGCAACCCUGACCGAGCAACGCCGCGUGAGUGAAGAAGGUUUUCGGAUCGUAAAGCUCUGUUGUAAGUCAAGAACGGGUGUGAGAGUGGAAAGUUCACACUGUGACGGUAGCUUACCAGAAAGGGACGGCUAACUACGUG
This 497-nucleotide ribosomal RNA is filed under the name uncultured bacterium. RNAcentral's name for it is "partial 16S ribosomal RNA". It matches the Rfam family "Bacterial small subunit ribosomal RNA", at positions 28 to 507 of the family's 1533-position model. The record is from RNAcentral.